Phyllosticta citriasiana is the source of this 85-nucleotide non-coding RNA. The record is from the annotation of a GenBank genome assembly. Lineage: Eukaryota; Fungi; Ascomycota; Dothideomycetes; Botryosphaeriales; Phyllostictaceae.
GGGUUGGAGGUGUAAAGGAUAACACAUGUCGCGGCCAACAUAAACCAAGCCCGGCAAGUUCUAGGUUCAAGUCCUAGCCAACCUC